CUCUUGAGGGAAGCACUUUCUGU
Molecule: microRNA, 23 nt
Filed under: Macaca mulatta (Rhesus monkey)
Lineage: Eukaryota; Metazoa; Chordata; Mammalia; Primates; Cercopithecidae
Also listed under: 3 other names
Description: mml-miR-526b
Gene: mml-miR-526b
Source: miRBase by way of RNAcentral